Molecule: ribosomal RNA, 301 nt
Filed under: uncultured bacterium
Lineage: Bacteria
Description: partial 16S ribosomal RNA
Rfam family: Bacterial small subunit ribosomal RNA
Source: RNAcentral
CAGUAGCCGCGGUAAUACAGAGGGUGCGAGCGUUAAUCGGAUUUACUGGGCGUAAAGCGUGCGUAGGCGGCUUUUUAAGUCGGAUGUGAAAUCACUGAGCUUAACUUAGGAAUUGCAUUCGAUACUGGGAAGCUAGAGUAUGGGAGAGGAUGGUAGAAUUCCAGGUGUAGCGGUGAAAUGCGUAGAGAUCUGGAGGAAUACCGAUGGCGAAGGCAGCCAUCUGGCCUAAUACUGACGCUGAGGUACGAAAGCAUGGGGAGCAAACAGGAUUAGAUACCCGAGUAGUCCCUGUCUCUUAUAC